AGUCGAGCGGAGAUGAGGUGCUUGCACCUUAUCUUAGCGGCGGACSGGUGAGUAAUGCUUAGGAAUCUGCCUAUUAGUGGGGGACAACAUUUCGAAAGGAAUGCUAAUACCGCAUACGCCCUACGGGGGAAAGCAGGGGAUCUUCGGACCUUGCGCUAAUAGAUGAGCCUAAGUCGGAUUAGCUAGUUGGUGGGGUAAGGGCCUACCAAGGCGACGAUCUGUAGCGGGUCUGAGAGGAUGAUCCGCCACACUGGGACUGAGACACGGCCCAGACUCCUACGGGAGGCAGCAGUGGGGAAUAUUGGACAAUGGGGGGAACCCUGAUCCAGCCAUGCCGCGUGUGUGAAGAAGGCCUUUUGGUUGUAAAGCACUUUAAGCGAGGAGGAGGAGCUCUAGAUUAAUACUCUAGAUGCUUGGACGUUACUCGCAGAAUAAGCACCGGCUAACUCUGUGCCAGCAGCCGCGGUAAUACAGAGGGUGCAAGCGUUAAUCGGAUUUACUGGGCGUAAAGCGUGCGUAGGUGGUCUUUUAAGUCGGAUGUGAAAUCCCUGAGCUUAACUUAGGAAUUGCAUUCGAUACUGGGAGACUAGAGUAUGGGAGAGGAUGGUAGAAUUCCAGGUGUAGCGGUGAAAUGCGUAGAGAUCUGGAGGAAUACCGAUGGCGAAGGCAGCCAUCUGGCCUAAUACUGACACUGAGGUACGAAAGCAUGGGGAGCAAACAGGAUUAGAUACCCUGGUAGUCCAUGCCGUAAACGAUGUCUACUAGCCGUUGGGGUCUUUGAGACUUUAGUGGCGCAGCUAACGCGAUAAGUAGACCGCCUGGGGAGUACGGUCGCAAGACUAAAACUCAAAUGAAUUGACGGGGGCCCGCACAAGCGGUGGAGCAUGUGGUUUAAUUCGAUGCAACGCGAAGAACCUUACC
Molecule: ribosomal RNA, 921 nt
Filed under: uncultured bacterium
Lineage: Bacteria
Description: bacterial SSU rRNA
Rfam family: Bacterial small subunit ribosomal RNA
Source: RNAcentral